AAAGUUCCCAGUUACAUUUCUCAUCACAGGGAUGCAGGUACUAAUAAAAAUAACAAUAUGAUUGAUGUUAACUGUGUGGAGUUUGUUUCCAAAUCCUACAUUUUGAAAUAUUUGUAAAAUUUCAUGAAUAAAUAGGUUUAAACUACAAAAUGCAACAUUUGUAAUUUUUUUUGUAACUAUUACAAUGAUUAUGUUGGUACACAAAAUUUAGUUUUAAUGGAAGACUACUUAUCAUAUACUAAAUGUCACAUUUUAAGUGUUUAUUUUAGUGGAUAAUUAGCUGAUAAAUUGAGGUGCUCCUGAAUUGGGGGAAGAUUCUCAAAACAGAGUUUUACAGAAAAAAAUGGAAAAGAUCGUUUCUCUCCCCGAUCUCAUGUAGCCCCUCGGACUUCCUGUUUACUUUGAAAGUUGUUG
This 414-nucleotide long non-coding RNA is filed under the name Mytilus galloprovincialis (Mediterranean mussel). Lineage: Eukaryota; Metazoa; Mollusca; Bivalvia; Mytilida; Mytilidae. The record is from RNAcentral.